Molecule: ribosomal RNA, 497 nt
Filed under: uncultured bacterium
Lineage: Bacteria
Description: partial 16S ribosomal RNA
Rfam family: Bacterial small subunit ribosomal RNA
Source: RNAcentral
GAUGAACGCUGGCGGCGUGCCUAACACAUGCAAGUCGAGCGGACGGACGAGAAGGUUGCUUGUCGGAUGUUAGCGGCGGACGUGAGAGAAACGCGUGUAUAACCUCCUUAUGGAUAUGGGAGAACUAGGGGAAACAGUAGCUAAUACCGUAUAAGAUUCUGAACCGCGGAGUUCAAAAGUGCAAGACGGCGGUGCGGUCACUUGUAGAUGGAUCAGCGCUUGAUUAGCUAGUUGGUAAGGUAACGGCUUACCAAGGCAACGAUGCAUAGCCGACCUGAGAGGGUGAUCGGCCACACUGGAACUGAGACACGGUCCAGACUCCUACGGGAGGCAGCAGUAGGGAAUCUUCCGCAAAGGGCGAAAGCCUGACGCAGCAACGCCGCGUGAGUGAUGAAGGUCUUCGGAUCGUAAAACUCUGUUAUUAGGGACGAACAGAUGUGUAAUUGAAUGUGCACAUCUUGACGGUACCGAAUCAGAAAGCACCGGCUAACUACGUG